RNAcentral lists this ribosomal RNA (301 nucleotides) under uncultured bacterium. RNAcentral describes it as "partial 16S ribosomal RNA". It matches the Rfam family "Bacterial small subunit ribosomal RNA", at positions 509 to 808 of the family's 1533-position model. The record is from RNAcentral.
CAGUAGCCGCGGGAAUACGUAGGUGGCAAGCGUUGUCCGGAAUUAUUGGGCGUAAAGCGCGCGCAGGCGGAUAGGUCAGUCUGUCUUAAAAGUUCGGGGCUUAACCCCGUGAUGGGAUGGAAACUGCCAAUCUAGAGUAUCGGAGAGGAAAGUGGAAUUCCUAGUGUAGCGGUGAAAUGCGUAGAUAUUAGGAAGAACACCAGUGGCGAAGGCGACUUUCUGGACGAAAACUGACGCUGAGGCGCGAAAGCCAGGGGAGCGAACGGGAUUAGAUACCCCCGUAGUCCCUGUCUCUUAUACC